This 2890-nucleotide ribosomal RNA is filed under the name Ectothiorhodosinus mongolicus. RNAcentral describes it as "bacterial LSU rRNA". It matches the Rfam family "Bacterial large subunit ribosomal RNA". Lineage: Bacteria; Pseudomonadati; Pseudomonadota; Gammaproteobacteria; Chromatiales; Ectothiorhodospiraceae. The record is from RNAcentral.
AUAUGGUCAAGCGAUUAAGCGCACACGGUGGAUGCCUAGGCGGUAGAAGGCGAUGAAGGACGUGGUAGUCUGCGAUAAGCCUCGGGGAGCUGACAAACUAGCUUUGAUCCGGGGAUUUCCGAAUGGGGAAACCCACCUCUUUUGAGGUGUCUGCACCUGAAUACAUAGGGUGUAGAAGCGAUACCCGGGGAACUGAAACAUCUAAGUACCCGGAGGAAAAGAAAUCAACCGAGAUUCCGUCAGUAGCGGCGAGCGAACGCGGAGUAGCCCAAAAGUCUGCUUGGUUUUAGUGGAACGGUCUGGAAAGUCCGGCGAUACAGGGUGAUAGCCCCGUACACGAAAGGGCCAUGCAGAUGAAAUUGAGUAGGGCGGGACACGUGAAAUCCUGUCUGAAAAUGGGGGGACCAUCCUCCAAGGCUAAAUACUCUCUACCGACCGAUAGUGAACCAGUACCGUGAGGGAAAGGCGAAAAGAACCCCGGAGAGGGGAGUGAAAUAGAACCUGAAACCGUGUGCGUACAAGCAGUGGGAGCCCCUUCGGGGGUGACUGCGUACCUUUUGUAUAAUGGGUCAGCGACUUACUUUCAGUGGCAAGCUUAACCGUAUAGGGGAGGCGUAGGGAAACCGAGUCUUAAUAGGGCGUUCAGUCGCUGGGAGUAGACCCGAAACCGGGCGAUCUAUCCAUGGCCAGGAUGAAGGUGGGGUAACACCUACUGGAGGUCCGAACCCACUAAUGUUGAAAAAUUAGGGGAUGAGCUGUGGAUAGGAGUGAAAGGCUAAUCAAGCCCGGAGAUAGCUGGUUCUCCUCGAAAGCUAUUUAGGUAGUGCCUCAUGUAUCACUCUCGGGGGUAGAGCACUGUUAUGGCUAGGGGGUCAUCCCGACUUACCAAACCAUUGCAAACUCCGAAUACCGAGAAGUGCGAGCAUGGGAGACACACGGCGGGAGCUAACUUUCGUCGUGGAGAGGGAAACAACCCAGACCGCCAGCUAAGGUCCCAAAAUCAUGGCUCAGUGGGAAACGAUGUGGGAAGGCCCAGACAGCCAGGAGGUUGGCUUAGAAGCAGCCAUCCUUUAAAGAAAGCGUAAUAGCUCACUGGUCGAGUCGGCCCGCGCGGAAGAUUCAACGGGGCUUAAGCCAUGUACCGAAGCUGCGGACUUGUCCUUGUGACAAGUGGUAGAGGAGCGUUCUGUACGCCUGCGAAGGUGUGUCGUAAGGCAUGCUGGAGGUAUCAGAAGUGCGAAUGCUGACAUGAGUAACGAUAAGAUGGGUGAAAAACCCAUCCGCCGAAAGCCCAAGGUUUCCUGCGCAACGUUAAUCGGCGCAGGGUUAGUCGGCCCCUAAGGCGAGGCAGAAAUGCGUAGUCGAUGGGAAACAGGUUAAUAUUCCUGUACCGCUAUAUACUGCGAUGGGGGGACGAAGGAGGCUAGGUCAGCCGGCAGUUGGUGUCCGGUUUAAGCGUGUAGGGAGUGCUUCUUGGUAAAUCCGGAAGCACAAUCCUGAGGCGUGAUGACGAGCUCCCAUGUGGAGCGAAGUGACUAAUGCCAUGCUUCCAGGAAAAUCCUCUAAGCUUCAGGUAUAUAGUGACCGUACCCGAAACCGACACAGGUGGGCAGGGUGAGAAUCCCAAGGCGCUUGAGAGAACCCGGGUGAAGGAACUAGGCAAAAUGGUACCGUAACUUCGGGAGAAGGUACGCCGCUGACGGUGAUGAGACUUGCUCUCUAAGCUGUUGGCGGUCGCAGAGACCAGGCCGCUGCGACUGUUUAUUAAAAACACAGCACUCUGCAAACACGAAAGUGGACGUAUAGGGUGUGACGCCUGCCCGGUGCCGGAAGGUUAAUUGAUGGGGUUAGUCUUCGGACGAAGCUCUUGAUCGAAGCCCCGGUAAACGGCGGCCGUAACUAUAACGGUCCUAAGGUAGCGAAAUUCCUUGUCGGGUAAGUUCCGACCUGCACGAAUGGCGUAACGAUGGCGGCACUGUCUCCACCCGGGACUCAGUGAAAUUGAAAUCGCUGUGAAGAUGCAGUGUACCCGCGGCUAGACGGAAAGACCCCGUGAACCUUUACUACAGCUUCACACUGAACUUUGAACCUGCUUGUGUAGGAUAGGUGGGAGGCUUUGAAGCGGCGACGCCAGUCGUCGUGGAGCCAACCUUGAAAUACCACCCUGGCAUGUUUGGAGUUCUAACCUCGUCCUGUUAUCCAGGACAGGGACCGUGUGUGGUGGGUAGUUUGACUGGGGCGGUCUCCUCCCAAAGAGUAACGGAGGAGCGCGAAGGUACCCUCAGCGCGGUCGGACAUCGCGCAUUGAGUGCAAAGGCACAAGGGUGCUUGACUGCGAGACUGACACGUCGAGCAGGUGCGAAAGCAGGUCUUAGUGAUCCGGUGGUUCUGUAUGGAAGGGCCAUCGCUCAACGGAUAAAAGGUACUCCGGGGAUAACAGGCUGAUACCGCCCAAGAGUCCAUAUCGACGGCGGUGUUUGGCACCUCGAUGUCGGCUCAUCACAUCCUGGGGCUGAAGCAGGUCCCAAGGGUAUGGCUGUUCGCCAUUUAAAGUGGUACGCGAGCUGGGUUUAGAACGUCGUGAGACAGUUCGGUCCCUAUCUGCCGUGGGCGUCGGAGAUUUGAGAGGGUCUGCUCCUAGUACGAGAGGACCGGAGUGGACGUACCUCUGGUGUUCCGGUUGUCACGCCAGUGGCAUUGCCGGGUAGCUAAGUACGGACGGGAUAACCGCUGAAAGCAUCUAAGCGGGAAGCCUUCCUCAAGAUGAGAUCUCCCUGGGAACUUGAGUCCCCUAAAGGGCCGUUGAAGACUACAACGUUGAUAGGUCAGGUGUGGAAGCGCAGUAAUGUGUGAAGCUAACUGAUACUAAUUGCCCGUGAGGCUUGACCAU